UUUUCUUUCAAAAACCACUAUGAACCCUGCUCAUCCAGCUCACUCAAGUUGUUCUCUUGUAAAGAAAUUACCUUUCCAUGGGGGAAACCAAGGCUUGCAGAAAUUGAAAUCUUGUCUAGACUGGUCAUUGUGGAGGGUGGGCUGGAAUCCAGGGCUGGUGAUAACUCAUCCCCUCUCCCUCCAUACUCAAGAUACAGCAGUUUGAUGUACAGACAGUAGUGUAAGCCAGUGGGGAGAAAAUCAGAAACUUCAAGUCCUCACAGAACUGUAGGUGUGCAUCACAGUGUGCCCAGAGAGAAGCCCUGCUCUUCUGCACAGCAAAGGACUCGGCUCAGCAAACACCAGUUGGUAGGCAGAACACAGAAAAAGACUCUUCAGCCAUGUUGUGGUUUCGUGUGACCUCAUCAAAUCCAACUUCCUGUCUGAGAUAACUCAGAUUCAUUAAUCCAGUCGACAGCUACUCACUUACAUUUUCCCAGACCUCAUGGUAGUUCUGGAGAUCCUGAUGUGAAAGAUGCAGCCCCUGCCCAUAGAAGCUUAUCUGACAGCAAAUCCCAGUGUGGUGGUGAUGUUCACGAAAUUAAACCUUUGGAAUGUCCUCAGGAGCAGGAGCGAUGGAGGCAUCUUGUGUUACGCCAACAAGACGACUUUUGGAUCUCACCUGAAGAUAGGGGGCUUCCAGGAGACCCAGCCAAGUGAUUAGAGUGGGAACUUCCUGUCUGACUCCAGGUUUCUUAAGAGAUUGAAUUAGUGGCCAACAACCAGUAUAAUAAAGCCUCAGUAGAUUGAGAGAACUUCCGGAUUGGUGACUACAUGGAGAUCUGUGGAAAAUGACAAGUCUGGAUAAGGCAGAGAAGCUCUGAACCCCAUAUUUGCCUCAUGAACCCCUUCUGUCUUUCAUUCCCAAGUUACAAAUCCAUUGGUGAGAAAGCACUGAUUUUAAGUCUCAAUACCUAGUGGGAGUACGACAGCACUUGAAGAAGCUCCUCAGAUAGGUGGAGCAGUGCUGUGAUAUCUUUCCCUCUCUUUGUCUGAAGUAAAAAAAUGUCAAGAAGUCAGCCCAGGAGUGAUGGCAUGAUGUAUAUAUAAGGUCAUGGUGCCUCAGUCAAUCAAUGUAAACCAAAGAUCUAGCAAGCAAACUGA
Molecule: long non-coding RNA, 1143 nt
Organism: Erinaceus europaeus (western European hedgehog)
Lineage: Eukaryota; Metazoa; Chordata; Mammalia; Eulipotyphla; Erinaceidae
Exons: 2
Source: RefSeq, a predicted model, not a curated record